AUUGAACGCUGGCGGCAUGCCUUACACAUGCAAGUCGAACGGCAGCGCGGACUUCGGUCUGGCGGCGAGUGGCGAACGGGUGAGUAAUACAUCGGAACGUACCCUGUUGUGGGGGAUAACUAGUCGAAAGAUUAGCUAAUACCGCAUACGACCUGAGGGUGAAAGUGGGGGACCGCAAGGCCUCACGCCGCAGGAGCGGCCGAUGUCUGAUUAGCUAGUUGGUGGGGUAAAGGCCCACCAAGGCGACGAUCAGUAGCUAGUCUGAGAGGACGAUCAGCCACACUGGGACUGAGACACGGCCCAGACUCCUACGGGAGGCAGCAGUGGGGAAUUUUGGACAAUGGGGGCAACCCUGAUCCAGCAAUGCCGCGUGUGUGAAGAAGGCCUUCGGGUUGUAAAGCACUUUUGCCCGGAAAGAAAUCGCGCUGGUUAAUACCUGGCGUGGAUGACGGUACCGGAAGAAUAAGCACCGGCUAACUACGUG
This 484-nucleotide ribosomal RNA is filed under the name uncultured bacterium. RNAcentral describes it as "partial 16S ribosomal RNA". It matches the Rfam family "Bacterial small subunit ribosomal RNA", at positions 30 to 507 of the family's 1533-position model. The record is from RNAcentral.